CACUCCUGCGGGAGGCAGCAGUGGGGAAUUUUGGACAAUGGGCGAAAGCCUGAUCCAGCAAUGCCGCGUGAGUGAAGAAGGCCUUCGGGUUGUAAAGCUCUUUUGUCAGGGAAGAAACGGUGAAAGCUAAUAUCUUUUGCUAAUGACGGUACCUGAAGAAUAAGCACCGGCUAACUACGUGCCAGCAGCCGCGGUAAUACGUAGGGUGCAAGCGUUAAUCGGAAUUACUGGGCGUAAAGCGUGCGCAGGCGGUUUUGUAAGUCUGAUGUGAAAUCCCCGGGCUCAACCUGGGAAUUGCAUUGGGGACUGCAAGGCUAGAAUCUGGCAGAGGGGGGUAGAAUUCCACGUGUAGCAGUGAAAUGCGUAGAUAUGUGGAGGAACACCGAUGGCGAAGGCAGCCCCCUGGGUCAAGAUUGACGCUCAUGCACGAAAGCGUGGGGAGCAAACAGGAUUAGAAACCCUAGUAGUCCCAUGAU
Molecule: ribosomal RNA, 476 nt
Filed under: uncultured organism
Description: partial 16S ribosomal RNA
Rfam family: Bacterial small subunit ribosomal RNA
Source: RNAcentral